RNAcentral lists this ribosomal RNA (497 nucleotides) under uncultured bacterium. Its description in RNAcentral is "partial 16S ribosomal RNA". It matches the Rfam family "Bacterial small subunit ribosomal RNA", at positions 28 to 507 of the family's 1533-position model. The record is from RNAcentral.
GAUGAACGCUGGCGGCGUGCCUAAUACACGCAAGUCGAGCGAACAGACGAGGAGCUUGCUCCUCUGACGUUAGCGGCGGACGGGUGAGUAACACGUGGAUAACCUACCUAUAAGACUGGGAUAACUUCGGGAAACCGGAGCUAAUACCGGAUAAUAUAUUGAACCGCAUGGUUCAAUAGUGAAAGACGGUUUUGCUGUCACUUAUAGAUGGAUCCGCGCCGCAUUAGCUAGUUGGUAAGGUAACGGCUUACCAAGGCAACGAUGCGUAGCCGACCUGAGAGGGUGAUCGGCCACACUGGAACUGAGACACGGUCCAGACUCCUACGGGAGGCAGCAGUAGGGAAUCCUCCGCAAUGGGCGAAAGCCUGACGGAGCAACGCCGCGUGAGUGAUGAAGGUCUUCGGAUCGUAAAACUCUGUUAUUAGGGAAGAACAAAUGUGUAAGUAACUAUGCACGUCUUGACGGUACCUAAUCAGAAAGCCACGGCUAACUACGUG